GCAGAGCGUCGAGCCCCAUGAUGCGAAGGGCGGGCGAUACCGGCCGGGAUAGGCAGUCACGUGACGCGCUAGGCACCUAGUCCCCGGGACUGAGAUCGCCUUUCUCUGCGGGGGAGAGAGGUUCUCAGGAAAGGAGUUAAAGGGGCAAAAAAAGAGUUCCAAGAGGAUACAUGUGCUGUCUUAUUUUGACGACACUGGGCUCCAGUUCAGCAAAGCAUUUAAGCACAUGGAAUCAAUGAGGCCUCUCCAUACUAUUGGCAGCUGCCUGACGAUCCCCUCACAGCCUUAGCCAAGUACUGAGGUCAUGGCUGCCAUCUUUCAGAUCGAGAAAGAAAUGGAUAUCAUUCCCUUUGGAGGGACCUCUUCAAAAUGAAGUUAGGGCACUCACCGUCACGGUCCUCCAAGAGCUCCCCACAGCACCUCUGCAGCACUCCCCAUCACCGAAGCACAAUCAAAUCGGGUUCUCCCUCACAGCAGCGCCUCUGUGUUAUGAUGUGAUGUUUAGUCAUAAACAUUAGAGAUGGAUCCAGGCUACAACUCUGUACUGGGUGAAGAAGACGAUUGGAAGCCAAACCCCUAUCUGGAGCCACAUUUUGCGACUGGCACCUCUUUUUAGAAAAGAUGGAGCCAAAACACGAUCAAAAAAAUCCUCACACUUUUUAGGGGUUCAAGAUCAGAGCCCAAGUGUGGUGGCUUUGUCCCAUAUUAAAGAUAUAGCUUUACAACCUUUGAUUUUGUCAGUUUUAUGUAUUUCCCCCACCACCCCCACCCCAGAGCAGGGGUAUGUGGGUGGCAAUGAAUACUUUAUUUCUGAUUCAAACAGAACAGUCUGAAGGCUUAGUGGACACAUACUCUGUACCCAGCAGCAUGUCUUGGGGUUUAGCAUUAGAAGGAAAUCAAGACCUCAGCCCCACCUCCUGAGCUUAAUCUUUUAAAGACUGAUCCCAUGCUCACAGCUGGAGUUUAUGUGAGUCCUGCCUUAUUAAUUAAGUGUAGCCAUCUUUCCCCCCUCCCUCCACCCCAAAUUCCAACAGCAGCAAUUAGAAAGCAGAUACUUCACACAACACCUGUUUCAUUUAUACCCCGCCAGCCAAUUCAUGUCUCCUUUCCCCAUCUUUUCAUUUGACAGAGACAAAGUGGCAAAAUCAAGGGAAGGAGGUGGCAAAAACAGC
Mauremys mutica (yellowpond turtle) is the source of this 1172-nucleotide long non-coding RNA. RefSeq lists it as uncharacterized. The record is from RefSeq and is a predicted model, not a curated record. The transcript has 3 exons. NCBI's taxonomy places the organism in Eukaryota, Metazoa, Chordata, Testudines, Geoemydidae.